CCUACGGGAGGCAGCAGUGAGGAAUAUUGGUCAAUGGAGGCAACUCUGAACCAGCCAUGUCGCGUGCAGGAAGACGGCCCUAUGAGUUGUAAACUGCUUUUGUACGGGGGUAAACGCAGAUACGCGUAUCUGACUGAAAGUAUCGUACGAAUAAGGAUCGGCUAACUCCGUGCCAGCAGCCGCGGUAAUACGGAGGAUUCAAGCGUUAUCCGGAUUUAUUGGGUUUAAAGGGUGCGUAGGCGGUCGGAUAAGUUAGAGGUGAAAUCCCGAGGCUCAACUGCGGAAUUGCAGCGGAUACUGGGCGGCUAGAGAGUAGUGGCGGUAGGCGGAAUGCAUGGUGUAGCGGUGAAAUGCUUAGAUAUCAUGAAGAACACCGAUUGCGAAGGCAGCUUACCA
Molecule: ribosomal RNA, 396 nt
Filed under: uncultured bacterium
Lineage: Bacteria
Description: partial 16S ribosomal RNA
Rfam family: Bacterial small subunit ribosomal RNA
Source: RNAcentral